Molecule: unclassified non-coding RNA, 395 nt
Filed under: soil metagenome
Description: partial contains 5.8S ribosomal RNA, internal transcribed spacer 2, and large subunit ribosomal RNA
Rfam family: 5.8S ribosomal RNA (bases 1-122)
Source: RNAcentral
GAUGAAGAACGUAGCGAAAUGCGAUACUUGGUGUGAAUUGCAGAAUCCCGUGAACCAUCGAGUCUUUGAACGCAAGUUGCGCCCGAAGCCAUCAGGUUGAGGGCACGUCUGCCUGGGCGUCACAUAUCGUUGCCCAAUGCCUAUUGCAGUGCAAUAGGAAUUUCUAGGGCCAAUGAUGGCUUCCCGUGAGCGUUGUUGCCUCGCGGUUGGUUGAAAAUCGAGUCCUUGGUAGGGUGUGCCAUGGUAGAUGGUGGUCGAGUUAGAACGAUACCGAUCAUGUGCAUGCUCCCCAAAAUAUGGCCUCUAUGACCCACACGCGUCUUUUGACGCUCAUGACGAGACCUCAGGUCAGGCGGGGCUACCCGCUGAAUUUAAGCAUAUCAAUAAGCGGAGGA